AAGGUUUUAAGUUAAAUAAACUGAUAGCCUUCAAAGCUAUAAAUGAAAAUAAAUCACCCACACUUUCAAGCCUUA
RNAcentral lists this transfer RNA (75 nucleotides) under Nocticola sp. JW1 9/1. RNAcentral's name for it is "tRNA-Trp". Lineage: Eukaryota; Metazoa; Arthropoda; Insecta; Blattodea; Nocticolidae. The record is from RNAcentral.